UGGAGCAGAUCAAGCGGUC
This 19-nucleotide non-coding RNA is filed under the name Arabidopsis thaliana (thale cress). The record is from RNAcentral. Lineage: Eukaryota; Viridiplantae; Streptophyta; Magnoliopsida; Brassicales; Brassicaceae.